CUACGGGGGGCUGCAGUAGGGAAUAUUGGACAAUGGGCGAAAGCCUGAUCCGGCAACACCGCGUGCACGAUGACGGCCUUCGGGUUGUAAAGUGCUUUUAGAGGAGAUGAGAAAGGACAGUAUCCUCUGAAUAAGCCUCGGCGAACUACGUGCCAGCAGCCGCGGUAAAACGUAGGAGGCAAGCGUUAUCCGGAUUUAUUGGGCGUAAAGCGCGUGCAGGCGGUCUAGCAAGUUGGAUGUGAAAGCUCCCGGCUCAACUGGGAGAGGUCGUUCAAUACUGUUAGACUAGAGAAUAGGAGAGGGAGGUGGAAUUCCGGGUGUAGUGGUGGAAUGCGUAGAUAUCCGGAGGAACACCAGUGGCGAAAGCGGCCUCCUGGACUAUUUCUGACGCUAAGACGCGAAAGCUAGGGUAGCAAACGGGAUUAGAUACCCUGGUAGUC
Molecule: ribosomal RNA, 440 nt
Filed under: uncultured bacterium
Lineage: Bacteria
Description: partial 16S ribosomal RNA
Rfam family: Bacterial small subunit ribosomal RNA
Source: RNAcentral